Molecule: unclassified non-coding RNA, 144 nt
Filed under: uncultured Mortierella
Lineage: Eukaryota; Fungi; Mortierellomycota; Mortierellomycetes; Mortierellales; Mortierellaceae
Description: sequence contains ITS1
Source: RNAcentral
UAAUAAGUAUUUUAUGGCACAUUUUUAAUCCAUAUCCACCUUGUGUGCAAUGUCGGUCGAUCCUCUUCAUGGAGUUCGACCAAGCAUCAACCUAAUCUUUUAACUCUUCGUCUGAAAAAUAUUAUGAAUAAACGAUUCAAAAUA